AUAGUAUCAAAUCUACAUUCAGUUUAGAGUGACACGAAUACAUCACACAGUAGGCAGUAUAAGAUGAACCGUGUCCCCAGGUUCAACUGGCAGCUGGUGGACGAGAUAGAAGACAACAAGGGACAAAUAUGUCUUUUAACGUGUCAAAUACAAUUUAAACCUUAGACAUAGAUUAUAUACAAGUGCUUGAACAGCGCAAACAUGAGGAAUUUUUUACAAUGUCGAGGACAAAUAAAAAGCAAAAAAAUAUGACAUCAUUUUGGUCUCUUAAAUUCUCUCUAGUAAUGUACAAGAACAGCAUAAUGCCAGCGUCUCCAAUGGCGCCCCGUUCCCUAGGGCAUAGGGUGUGAUUUGAGAUGGUGCCCCGUUCCCUAGGGCAUAGGGUGUGAUUUGAGACACAGACCAAUGGCGCCCGUUCCCUAGGGCAUAGGGUGUGAUUUGAGAUGGUGCCCGUUCCCUAGGGCAUAGGGUGUGAUUUGAGAUGGUGCCCCGUUCCCCAGGGCAUAGGGUGUGAUUUGAGAUGGUGCCCCGUUCCCCAGGGCAUAGGGUGUGAUUUGAGAUGCAGACCAAUGGCGCCCCGUUCCCCAGGGCAUAGGGUGUGAUUUGAGAUGCAGACCAAUGGUGCCCCGUUCCCCAGGGCAUAGGGUGUGAUUUGAGAUGCAGACCAAUGGUGCCCCGUUCCCUAGGGCAUAGGGUGUGAUUUGAGAUGCAGACCAAUGGCGCCCCGUUCCCCAGGGCAUAGGGUGUGAUUUGAGAUGCAGCCAAUGGUGCCCCGUUCCCCAGGGCAUAGAGUGUGAUUUGAGAUGCAGACCAAUGGUGCCCCGUUCCCCAGGGCAUAGGGUGUGAUUUGAGAAGCAGACCAAUGGUGCCCCGUUCCCCAGGGCAUAGGGUGUGAUUUGAGAUGCAGACCAAUGGUGCCCCGUUCCCCAGGGCAUAGGGUGUGAUUUGAGAUGCAGACCAAUGGUGCCCCGUUCCCUAGGGCAUAGGGUGUGAUUUGAGAUGCAGACCAAUGGCGCCC
Oncorhynchus tshawytscha (Chinook salmon) is the source of this 1018-nucleotide long non-coding RNA. The record is from Ensembl. Lineage: Eukaryota; Metazoa; Chordata; Actinopteri; Salmoniformes; Salmonidae.